Molecule: ribosomal RNA, 301 nt
Filed under: uncultured bacterium
Lineage: Bacteria
Description: partial 16S ribosomal RNA
Rfam family: Bacterial small subunit ribosomal RNA
Source: RNAcentral
CAGUAGCCGCGGUAAUACGAAGGGUGCAAGCGUUAAUCGGAAUUACUGGGCGUAAAGCGUGCGUAGGCGGUUUGUUAAGUCUGUUGUGAAAGCCCCGGGCUCAGCCUGGGAAUGGCAAUGGAUACUGGCGAGCUAGAGUGUGUCAGAGGAUGGUGGAAUUCCCGGUGUAGCGGUGAAAUGCGUAGAGAUCGGGAGGAACAUCAGUGGCGAAGGCGGCCAUCUGGGACAACACUGACGCUGAGGCACGAAAGCGUGGGGAGCAAACAGGAUUAGAUACCCGAGUAUCCCUGUCUCUUAUACA